Molecule: long non-coding RNA, 1007 nt
Organism: Conger conger (European conger)
Lineage: Eukaryota; Metazoa; Chordata; Actinopteri; Anguilliformes; Congridae
Exons: 3
Source: RefSeq, a predicted model, not a curated record
GCACCUCUUUCAUUUGGGUGUACACUCUCAGAAACAAAAUUACUUCCAAAAGGAGAUUCCAUUGCAGAAGCCGAUCGAGUUUUAUGUUUUUUUUCCUCAGGCAAAAUGGUUCUUACUCUGGGAGCUUUCACUUCACAACCUAUGGUCAAAGGCUGCAGUAAGACCUAAAGGGGGUUCCUAUGGAGACAAGCCUGAUAACCUUUUUUUCUGAGAGGGAAGCGACACCAGGAAGGAGAAAUGCGAUGAAGAAUGCGUGUAGCAGUCUGAACUUCACCGUCCAGGAGGUCAAACGAGUGACUUUGAUGGAAACACCUCAGGUGCCUCACCAACAUCACGCUGGCUUGCCUUUGAAGACCCUGCCUUCUAUUUACCUACUGCACUUCAAUUAAUUCACCCCAGCUGGAUUACUGCAACAGCAUCCUCUCAGGACUCCCCACCAAACUCACCAACAAACUUCAAAUAAUACAAAAUUCUGCUGCCCGAAUCCUCACCCGCACAAAAUCUCAUGAACACAUCACACCCAGCCUCACUCAGCUACACUGGUUACCAGUUCAACAGCGCAUUGAUUUCAAGAUCCCCCUACUCACAUACAAGGCUUUGAACACCCUUGCACCCCCCUAUCUCUCUGACCUUCUUCACGACUACACCCCAACUCGCACUCUCCGCUCCUCCUCAGCUGGCCUCCUGUCUAUCCCCACCACCCGACUCUCUACUAUGGGUGCUCGAGCAUUCAGCUCUACAGCACCCAGGCUCUGGAACUCUCUACCCAUACACAUCCGCCAUACAGAGUCACUGUCAUCUUUCAAAAAACUUCUCAAAACUCAUCUGUUUACUCUUGCAUACCCCUGACUGUUUCCUUCCCUUUACAUGUUGUUGUGUCUAUCUCUGUCUGCUGUCUGUUUGUUUGAUAUUAAUUGUAUGUUCAUUGUAAAUUAUUUUUAAUUGGAUAUAUUGCAUCAUGUUUUCUUUUUUGUUGAUGAUUUUAAAUGGGAUAUUUUGUAUCAUGU